Molecule: non-coding RNA, 30 nt
Filed under: Mus musculus (house mouse)
Lineage: Eukaryota; Metazoa; Chordata; Mammalia; Rodentia; Muridae
Source: RNAcentral
UUGGUGUGCUGUUUAGCAGAGGAACAUUGU